CACUCCUACGGGAGGCAGCAGUGGGGAAUUUUGGACAAUGGGCGAAAGCCUGAUCCAGCAAUGCCGCGUGUGUGAAGAAGGCCUUCGGGUUGUAAAGCACUUUUGUCCGGAAAGAAAUCCUUGGCUCUAAUACAGUCGGGGGAUGACGGUACCGGAAGAAUAAGCACCGGCUAACUACGUGCCAGCAGCCGCGGUAAUACGUAGGGUGCGAGCGUUAAUCGGAAUUACUGGGCGUAAAGCGUGCGCAGGCGGUUUGCUAAGACCGAUGUGAAAUCCCCGGGCUCAACCUGGGAACUGCAUUGGUGACUGGCAGGCUAGAGUAUGGCAGAGGGGGGUAGAAUUCCACGUGUAGCAGUGAAAUGCGUAGAGAUGUGGAGGAAUACCGAUGGCGAAGGCAGCCCCCUGGGCCAAUACUGACGCUCAUGCACGAAAGCGUGGGGAGCAAACAGGAUUAGAUACCCUAGUAGUCCCA
This 472-nucleotide ribosomal RNA is filed under the name uncultured organism. RNAcentral describes it as "partial 16S ribosomal RNA". It matches the Rfam family "Bacterial small subunit ribosomal RNA", at positions 334 to 797 of the family's 1533-position model. The record is from RNAcentral.